This 506-nucleotide ribosomal RNA is filed under the name uncultured Glomeraceae. RNAcentral's name for it is "SSU rRNA". It matches the Rfam family "Eukaryotic small subunit ribosomal RNA", at positions 569 to 1078 of the family's 1831-position model. Lineage: Eukaryota; Fungi; Glomeromycota; Glomeromycetes; Glomerales; Glomeraceae. The record is from RNAcentral.
AGCAGCCGCGGUAAUUCCAGCUCCAAUAGCGUAUAUUAAAGUUGUUGCAGUUAAAAAGCUCGUAGUUGAAUUUCGGAAUCAAUAUAUCGGUCGUGCCUUGGUACGUACUGGUAUCAUUGGUUUCUCCUUUCUGACGAACCAUAAUGUCAUUAAUUUGGUGUUAUGGGAAGUUAGGACUGUUACUUUGAAAAAAUUAGAGUGUUUAAAGCAGGCUUUAGCUUGAAUACAUUAGCAUGGAAUAAUGAAAUAGGACGUUCGAACCUAUUUUGUUGGUUUCUAGGAUCAACGUAAUGAUUAAUAGGGAUAGUUGGGGGCAUUAGUAUUCAAUUGUCAGAGGUGAAAUUCUUGGAUUUAUUGAAGACUAACUACUGCGAAAGCAUUUGCCAAGGAUGUUUUCAUUAAUCAAGAACGAAAGUUAGGGGAUCGAAGACGAUCAGAUACCGUCGUAGUCUUAACCAUAAACUAUGCCGACUAGGGAUCGGAUGAUGUAAUUUUUUAAUGACUCA